GGUUAAGCGACUAAGCGUACACGGUGGAUGCCCUGGCAGUCAGAGGCGAUGAAGGACGUGCUAAUCUGCGAUAAGCGUCGGUAAGGUGAUAUGAACCGUUAUAACCGGCGAUUUCCGAAUGGGGAAACCCAGUGUGAUUCGUCACACUAUCAUUAACUGAAUCCAUAGGUUAAUGAGGCGAACCGGGGGAACUGAAACAUCUAAGUACCCCGAGGAAAAGAAAUCAACCGAGAUUCCCCCAGUAGCGGCGAGCGAACGGGGAGCAGCCCAGAGCCUGAAUCAGUGUGUGUGUUAGUGGAAGCGUCUGGAAAGGCGUGCGAUACAGGGUGACAGCCCCGUACACAAAAAUGCACAUGCUGUGAGCUCGAUGAGUAGGGCGGGACACGUGGUAUCCUGUCUGAAUAUGGGGGGACCAUCCUCCAAGGCUAAAUACUCCUGACUGACCGAUAGUGAACCAGUACCGUGAGGGAAAGGCGAAAAGAACCCCGGCGAGGGGAGUGAAAAAGAACCUGAAACCGUGUACGUACAAGCAGUGGGAGCACAGAGCAAUCUGUGUGACUGCGUACCUUUUGUAUAAUGGGUCAGCGACUUAUAUUCUGUAGCAAGGUUAACCGAAUAGGGGAGCCGAAGGGAAACCGAGUCUUAACUGGGCGUUAAGUUGCAGGGUAUAGACCCGAAACCCGGUGAUCUAGCCAUGGGCAGGUUGAAGGUUGGGUAACACUAACUGGAGGACCGAACCGACUAAUGUUGAAAAAUUAGCGGAUGACUUGUGGCUGGGGGUGAAAGGCCAAUCAAACCGGGAGAUAGCUGGUUCUCCCCGAAAGCUAUUUAGGUAGCGCCUCGUGAAUUCAUCUCCGGGGGUAGAGCACUGUUUCGGCAAGGGGGUCAUCCCGACUUACCAACCCGAUGCAAACUGCGAAUACCGGAGAAUGUUAUCACGGGAGACACACGGCGGGUGCUAACGUCCGUCGUGAAGAGGGAAACAACCCAGACCGCCAGCUAAGGUCCCAAAGUCAUGGUUAAGUGGGAAACGAUGUGGGAAGGCCCAGACAGCCAGGAUGUUGGCUUAGAAGCAGCCAUCAUUUAAAGAAAGCGUAAUAGCUCACUGGUCGAGUCGGCCUGCGCGGAAGAUGUAACGGGGCUAAACCAUGCACCGAAGCUGCGGCAGCGACACUAUGUGUUGUUGGGUAGGGGAGCGUUCUGUAAGCCUGUGAAGGUGUACUGUGAGGUAUGCUGGAGGUAUCAGAAGUGCGAAUGCUGACAUAAGUAACGAUAAAGCGGGUGAAAAGCCCGCUCGCCGGAAGACCAAGGGUUCCUGUCCAACGUUAAUCGGGGCAGGGUGAGUCGACCCCUAAGGCGAGGCCGAAAGGCGUAGUCGAUGGGAAACAGGUUAAUAUUCCUGUACUUGGUGUUACUGCGAAGGGGGGACGGAGAAGGCUAUGUUGGCCGGGCGACGGUUGUCCCGGUUUAAGCGUGUAGGCUGGUUUUCCAGGCAAAUCCGGAAAAUCAAGGCUGAGGCGUGAUGACGAGGCACUACGGUGCUGAAGCAACAAAUGCCCUGCUUCCAGGAAAAGCCUCUAAGCAUCAGGUAACAUCAAAUCGUACCCCAAACCGACACAGGUGGUCAGGUAGAGAAUACCAAGGCGCUUGAGAGAACUCGGGUGAAGGAACUAGGCAAAAUGGUGCCGUAACUUCGGGAGAAGGCACGCUGAUAUGUAGGUGAAGUCCCUCGCGGAUGGAGCUGAAAUCAGUCGAAGAUACCAGCUGGCUGCAACUGUUUAUUAAAAACACAGCACUGUGCAAACACGAAAGUGGACGUAUACGGUGUGACGCCUGCCCGGUGCCGGAAGGUUAAUUGAUGGGGUCAGCGCAAGCGAAGCUCUUGAUCGAAGCCCCGGUAAACGGCGGCCGUAACUAUAACGGUCCUAAGGUAGCGAAAUUCCUUGUCGGGUAAGUUCCGACCUGCACGAAUGGCGUAAUGAUGGCCAGGCUGUCUCCACCCGAGACUCAGUGAAAUUGAACUCGCUGUGAAGAUGCAGUGUACCCGCGGCAAGACGGAAAGACCCCGUGAACCUUUACUAUAGCUUGACACUGAACAUUGAGCCUUGAUGUGUAGGAUAGGUGGGAGGCUUUGAAGUGUGGACGCCAGUCUGCAUGGAGCCGACCUUGAAAUACCACCCUUUAAUGUUUGAUGUUCUAACGUUGACCCGUAAUCCGGGUUGCGGACAGUGUCUGGUGGGUAGUUUGACUGGGGCGGUCUCCUCCUAAAGAGUAACGGAGGAGCACGAAGGUUGGCUAAUCCUGGUCGGACAUCAGGAGGUUAGUGCAAUGGCAUAAGCCAGCUUGACUGCGAGCGUGACGGCGCGAGCAGGUGCGAAAGCAGGUCAUAGUGAUCCGGUGGUUCUGAAUGGAAGGGCCAUCGCUCAACGGAUAAAAGGUACUCCGGGGAUAACAGGCUGAUACCGCCCAAGAGUUCAUAUCGACGGCGGUGUUUGGCACCUCGAUGUCGGCUCAUCACAUCCUGGGGCUGAAGUAGGUCCCAAGGGUAUGGCUGUUCGCCAUUUAAAGUGGUACGCGAGCUGGGUUUAGAACGUCGUGAGACAGUUCGGUCCCUAUCUGCCGUGGGCGCUGGAGAACUGAGGGGGGCUGCUCCUAGUACGAGAGGACCGGAGUGGACGCAUCACUGGUGUUCGGGUUGUCAUGCCAAUGGCACUGCCCGGUAGCUAAAUGCGGAAGAGAUAAGUGCUGAAAGCAUCUAAGCACGAAACUUGCCCCGAGAUGAGUUCUCCCUGACUCCUUGAGAGUCCUGAAGGAACGUUGAAGACGACGACGUUGAUAGGCCGGGUGUGUAAGCGCAGCGAUGCGUUGAGCUAACCGGUACUAAUGAACCGUGAGGCUUAACCUU
This 2905-nucleotide ribosomal RNA is filed under the name Escherichia coli 96.154. RNAcentral describes it as "bacterial LSU rRNA". It matches the Rfam family "Bacterial large subunit ribosomal RNA". The record is from RNAcentral. Lineage: Bacteria; Pseudomonadati; Pseudomonadota; Gammaproteobacteria; Enterobacterales; Enterobacteriaceae.